RNAcentral lists this ribosomal RNA (502 nucleotides) under uncultured bacterium. Its description in RNAcentral is "partial 16S ribosomal RNA". It matches the Rfam family "Bacterial small subunit ribosomal RNA", at positions 28 to 507 of the family's 1533-position model. The record is from RNAcentral.
GAUGAAUGCUGGCGGCGUGCCUAACACAUGCAAGUCGAGCGGCAGCGAGUUUUACACUGAAUUCUGGAAGCUUCUGAGUAGUACAGAAGAUUUAUUCAAGAGUUUUGUGUAAAAUGUCGGCGAGCGGCGGACGGCUGAGUAACGCGUAGGAAUUUGCCCCAAAGUGAGGAAUCACUGCCCGAAAGGGUAGCUAAUGCCGCAUAUGGUCUUCGGAUUAAAGCCUUCGGGCGCUUUGGGAGAAGCCUGCGUUGGAUUAGGUAGUUGGUAGGGUAAUGGCCUACCAAGCCGACGAUCCAUAGCUGGUCUGAGAGGAUGAUCAGCCAGACUGGAACUGAGACACGGUCCAGACUCCUACGGGAGGCAGCAGUGAGGAAUCUUCCACAAUGGGCGAAAGCCUGAUGGAGCAACGCCGCGUGAAGGAUGAAGGCCUUCGGGUUGUAAACUUCUUUUAUGAGUGAAGAAUAUGACGGUAACUCAUGAAUAAGCACCGGCUAACUACGUG